GGUCUGAUCAUGGCUCAGAUUGAACGCUGGCGGGAUGCUUUACAUGCAAGUCGAACGGCAGCACGGACUUCGGUCUGUGGUAUAUGAGUGGCGAACGGGUGCAGAGUAAUGUAUCGGAACGUGCCUAGUAGCGGGGGAUAACUACGCGAAAGCGUAGCCAAUACCGCAUACGCCCUUCGGGGGGAAAGCGGGGACCUUCGGGCCUCGCACUAUUAGAGCGGCUGAUAUCGGAUUAGCUAGUUGGUGGGGUAACGGCUCACCAAGGCGACGAUCCGUAGCUGGUUUGAGAGGACGACCAGCCACACUGGGACUGAGACACGGCCCAGACUCCUACGGAGGCAGCAGUGGGGGAAUUUUGGACAAUGGGGAAACCCCGAUCCAGCCAUCCCGCGUGUGCGAUGAAGGCCUUCGGGUUGUAAAGCACUUUGGCAGGAAGAAACGGCACGGGAUAAUACCCCGUGCAACUGACGGUAAUUCCGCAGAAUAAGCACCGGCUAGCCACGUGCCAGCAGCCGCGGUAAUACGUAGGGUGCAAGCGUUAAUCGGAAUUACUGGGCGUAAAGCGUGCGCAGGCGGUUCGGAAAGAAAAGAUGUGAAAUCCCAGAGCUUAAUCUUGGAACUGCAUUUUUAACUACCGAGCUAGAGUGUGUCAGAGGGAGGUGGAAUUCCGCGUGUAGCAGUGAAAUGCGUAGAUAUGCGGAGGAACACCGAUGGCGAAGGCAGCCUCCUGGGAUAACACUGACGCUCAUGCACGAAAGCGUGGGGAGCAAACAGGAUUAGAUAAUUCCUGGUAGUCCACGCCCUAAACGAUGUCAACUAGCUGUUGGGGCCUUCGGGCCUUGGUAGCGCAGCGAUCACAGGAAGUUGACCGCCUGGGAGUACGGUCGCAAGAUUAAAACUCAAAGGAAUUGACGGGGACCCGCACAAGCGGUGGAUGAUGUGGAUUAAUUCGGAUGCAACGCGAAAACCUACCUACCCUUGACAUGUCUGGAAUCCCGAAGAGAUUUGGGAGUGCUCGCAAGAGAACCGGAAACACAGGUGCUGCAUGGCUGUCGUCAGCUCGUGGCCGUGAGAUGCUGGGUUAAGUCCCGCAACGAGCGCAACCCUUGUCAUUAGUUGCUACUAGAAAGGGCACUCUAAUGAGACUGCCGGUGACAAACCGGAGGAAGGUGGGGAUGACGUCAAGUCCUCAUGGCCCUUAUGGGUAGGGCUUCACACGUCAUACAAUGGUCGGGACAGAGGGUCGCUAACCCGCGAGGGGGAGCCAAUCCUAGAAACCUCGAUCGUAGUCCGGAUCGCAGUCUGCAACUCGACUGGUGAAGUCGGAAUCGCUGGUAAUCGGUGAUCAGCAUGUCGCGGUGAAUACGUUCCCCGGGUCUUGUACACACCGCCCGUCACACCAUGGGAGUGGGUUUUACCAGAAGUAGUUAGCCUAACCGUAAGGAGGGCGAUUACCACGGUAGGAUUCAUGACUGGGGUGAAGUCGUAACAAGGUAG
RNAcentral lists this ribosomal RNA (1497 nucleotides) under uncultured Bordetella sp. RNAcentral's name for it is "partial 16S-23S ribosomal RNA intergenic spacer". It matches the Rfam family "Bacterial small subunit ribosomal RNA". The record is from RNAcentral. Lineage: Bacteria; Pseudomonadati; Pseudomonadota; Betaproteobacteria; Burkholderiales; Alcaligenaceae.